This 189-nucleotide non-coding RNA is filed under the name Nitrospirota bacterium. RNAcentral describes it as "Nitrospirae bacterium (hot springs metagenome) 6S RNA". It matches the Rfam family "6S / SsrS RNA". Rfam says of the family: E. coli 6S RNA was the first non coding RNA to be sequenced, but its function was unknown until recently. It consists of 184 nucleotides that fold into an extended hairpin structure with a large single-stranded internal bulge. Lineage: Bacteria; Pseudomonadati; Nitrospirota. The record is from RNAcentral.
CUUUGCCUACCCUGUUGGUGAUAAGGAGAACAUGUUGAUCCGGCAAAUUAGAUCUUAUGGGAGCCUGCGUAAAGAGCUGGUGUGCAUGCCCUCUUUUAUAUGGAGAGGGAAGCCUAAAGGUAAUUUCAGGGCACCCACUUAUAUUAUAGGCGGAUCUAAUUUCUUCUUACACGGCAGGGUGGGUUUAUU